GCCGGCGCGGGUAACGGGGCCGCAUGGUUGUGGUCCAGGCGGUCGCCGGUUCGAGUCCGGUCGCUCGCCCCU
This 72-nucleotide transfer RNA is filed under the name Actinomycetota bacterium. RNAcentral describes it as "Actinobacteria bacterium (freshwater metagenome) tRNA-His". Lineage: Bacteria; Bacillati; Actinomycetota. The record is from RNAcentral.